Ochotona princeps (American pika) is the source of this 300-nucleotide unclassified non-coding RNA. Its record names the gene 7SK. It matches the Rfam family "7SK RNA". Rfam says of the family: 7SK was discovered as an abundant small nuclear RNA in the mid-70s but a possible function has only recently been suggested. The record is from Ensembl. Lineage: Eukaryota; Metazoa; Chordata; Mammalia; Lagomorpha; Ochotonidae.
GGAUGUGAGGGCGAUCUGGCUGCAACAUCUGUCACCCCAUUGAUCGCCAGGGUUGAUUCGGCUGAUCUGGCUGGCUAGGCGGGUGUCCCCUUCCUCCCUCACUGCUCCAUGUGCAUCCAUCCCGAAGCUGUGCGCUUGGUCGAAGAGGACGACCAUCCCCACUAGAGAAGGACUGGUCUUUGGUCAAGGGUAUACGAGUAACUGCCCUCCCCUGCUAGAACCUCCAAACAAGCUCUCAAAUAUAUGUAGGGCAAGAGUCACCUUUGGUUAUGUUUUCUAAAUGUUUAAAAUGUAUACACC